Molecule: non-coding RNA, 72 nt
Organism: Parelaphostrongylus tenuis
Lineage: Eukaryota; Metazoa; Nematoda; Chromadorea; Rhabditida; Metastrongylidae
Source: the annotation of a GenBank genome assembly
AACUUGGUAGUGUAGUGGUAGCACGCGUCUCCGAUAUGGAUGAAACGCGGGUUCGACUCCCGCCUAAGGCCA